Molecule: long non-coding RNA, 323 nt
Organism: Boleophthalmus pectinirostris (great blue-spotted mudskipper)
Lineage: Eukaryota; Metazoa; Chordata; Actinopteri; Gobiiformes; Gobiidae
Exons: 3
Source: RefSeq, a predicted model, not a curated record
CCUCGUUUCCAUGGAGAUGGGGCCGCGAACGGAGGACACAUCCGAGUAUCCUUCGCAGCCUUCAGUAUCCCAGCAUGCACCGCGCGGCGCCAGUCACAUGUUCAAAAACACAGAGCAAAAAGCCGGUCCCGAGAGCGGAGAAAAACAUCCUCCUGUAUGAGGACACGACACACUGCAGGGGCCACAGAACUGUUGACUGACAAGAUGCUUGUGAUUCAUAAAAUGGGUCAAAUGCAGAUGACAAAGUAAAGCCAACACUGAGCUGGAGGUGCUGACCCAGACUCCUGCCAACGAUUAGGUUUUCACUGCAGGACAGAACUUUG